CAGUCGCCGCGGUAAUACGAAGGGGGCUAGCGUUGCUCGGAAUUACUGGGCGUAAAGGGCGCGUAGGCGGACAGUUCAGUCGGGGGUGAAAGCCCGGGGCUCAACCCCGGAAUUGCCUUCGAUACUGGCUGUCUUGAGUAUGAGAGAGGUGUGUGGAACUCCGAGUGUAGAGGUGAAAUUCGUAGAUAUUGAGAAGAACACCGGUGGCGAAGGCGGCUCUCUGGACCGAUACUGACGCUGAGGCGCGAAAGCGUGGGGAGCAAACAGGAUUAGAUACCCCGGUAGUCCCUGUCUCUUAUAC
This 301-nucleotide ribosomal RNA is filed under the name uncultured bacterium. Its description in RNAcentral is "partial 16S ribosomal RNA". It matches the Rfam family "Bacterial small subunit ribosomal RNA", at positions 509 to 807 of the family's 1533-position model. The record is from RNAcentral.